Long non-coding RNA from Oncorhynchus tshawytscha (Chinook salmon), 1100 nucleotides. Lineage: Eukaryota; Metazoa; Chordata; Actinopteri; Salmoniformes; Salmonidae. The record is from Ensembl.
AAGAGUUUAAAAAUGAUUUAUUAAACGACCAAUAAGAGAAAAACAGUGACAAACCCUGUUCACUGAACAAUACAAUAGGAAAAGAAAAUACAUUGUUUUUACAAAAACAUUUUUACAACGUUAGGGAGCAACUGAGACUUCAUCAUAAUGUUAUUUGGUGUGUCGGUCCUCGCUCAUCAUUAUUAAGCCGUUAAGAUAGCUGGGCUCCAAUGUCUCAUUCGUCUCAGGGUAGAAGUGCUGAUCUAGGAUCAGUUUUGCCUUUUAGAAGACAAUUAAUAAGAUUGUGUGGACAGGUUGGGACCUGAUCCUGGAUCAGCUCUCAUACUCAGACGCUUGACACACUAUCCCUAAACUAAAAACAGUGUGCUUUAGCAUGAGCAGAAACUGGGGGAGGAUGAUUCAAGAUAUACUUCCUGACUGAGAUUAUUUUUUAUAAGAUUAAUACAUGUAACAUAAAUUAGGUCAUAAUUAGCUCCUCCCCAUCAGCUGGUAAUAAAACAAUAUAAAAAGUAAGUAAAAACAGAAUAUGAGGGUAUCGGGGUUGGGGUCAGUUGAAUUUGAAUUCCUGUCAAUUCAGGAAGUAUAGCGAAAUUCCAAUUCUCCUCAAUGCUUUUCAAUGAGGAUAAUGUGGAUUUGGAACACGCUUCAGUUUCUGAACUGGCUGGAAUCUAAAUGGAGCUGACCUCUGGAGGCGACACCACCUUACUGUUUAACUGUCACACUGUUCUGUCUAGCAUCCACUGGUGGUUGGUGAUAACAUCACGUCUUACACAGGGCCAUCAGUGUGCUGUAUGUGUGCAGGGUUUUGUUCCAGCCCACCACUAACAAAACAACAAAUAAAACUAUUCUUCAUGAAUUAGGUGAAUCAGCACAGCAGGUGUUUUAGUGCUGGGUGGGUGCAAAACCCCGCAGCGCAGCCCUGUACUAUACGCUCAUCCAUAAUAACCCUGGCUACCCUGCAUGGGAGCCUCCCAUAUGACCGCUAACCUCCAUACGUCCCCUAACCUCCAUAUGAUCCCUAACCUCCAUAUGACCCCCAACCUCCAUAUGACCCCCAACCUCCAUAUGACCCCCAACCUCCAUAUGACCCCCAACCUCCA